Molecule: ribosomal RNA, 253 nt
Filed under: uncultured bacterium
Lineage: Bacteria
Description: partial 16S ribosomal RNA
Rfam family: Archaeal small subunit ribosomal RNA
Source: RNAcentral
UACCAGCACCCCGAGUGGUCGGGACGUUUAUUGGGCCUAAAGCAUCCGUAGCCGGUUCUGCAAGUCUUCCGUUAAAUCCACCUGCUUAACAGAUGGGCCGCGGAAGAUACUAUAGAGCUAGGAGGCGGGAGAGGCAAGCGGUACUCGAUGGGUAGGGGUAAAAUCCGUUGAUCCAUUGAAGACCACCAGUGGCGAAGGCGGCUUGCCGGAACGCGCUCGACGGUGAGGGAUGAAAGCUGGGGGAGCAAACCGG